This 474-nucleotide long non-coding RNA is filed under the name Crocodylus porosus (Australian saltwater crocodile). Its description in RNAcentral is "lncRNA (ENSCPRG00005018875.1)". Lineage: Eukaryota; Metazoa; Chordata; Crocodylia; Crocodylidae. The record is from RNAcentral.
UUGCAAACCAGUUCAGCCUAGCCAGGUUAGACUAACCUGCAAAGAUUGAAUCAAUUCAGGCUGUCCCUAUCCAGGAAGGCUCCCGUAUACACUCCUUUCUUCAAUGGGUCAGCCCUGCUUCCUUCCAGCUCCAUUGUUGGUAACAUUAGAGCAGAGCUGAUUUCGCUGCUACUGAAGUGGAACUGAAAUUCUCCCGUGGCUCUGGGAAAUAAACACGGAGGCACGGAGUGGCCCUAGGAGCUGGAAGCCCAGUGCAAAGCGCGGUGUGCCGAGCCUCCAGCGAGCUUAGAUAAUCCUUGCAGCGCAUCUGGAGGUGGGAGGCUUGUUUGCGUUGGUGUGAUAGGCAGCUUAGUGAACUCUACUCUGAAUCAAAAAAUUUUUGAUUUGGCAUUAUUGUACUUUGUGGAGAACACCAGAAUGUCUGCAUGAAAAAUAUAUGCCUCAACAAAACAUUAGUAAUAAGGUGAGUAUUUG